UAGGGAGGGUGCAAGCGUUAUCCGGAUGCACUGGGUUUAAAGGGUGCGUAGGCGGGCUGGCAAGUCCGUGGUGAAAUCUCCAAGCUUAACUUGGAAACUGCCGUGGAUACUAUCAAUCUUGAAUGUCGUGGAGGUAAGCGGAAUAUGUCAUGUAGCGGUGAAAUGCUUAGAGAUGACAUAGAACACCAAUUGCGUAGGCAGCUUACUACACGAAUAUUGACGCUGAGGCACGUAAGCGUGGGGAGCAAACAGG
RNAcentral lists this ribosomal RNA (253 nucleotides) under uncultured bacterium. RNAcentral's name for it is "partial 16S ribosomal RNA". It matches the Rfam family "Bacterial small subunit ribosomal RNA", at positions 524 to 776 of the family's 1533-position model. The record is from RNAcentral.